UAUAAGCCUUCCCCCGCCCUGCAGAGAUCAGUCUGCACGGAGCCCUCCAUGGGUGAAGAUGAAUUAUUUUUUUGCGCUCGGGUUUUUUCUUUUUCGUCUGUUUUUCUUCUUUUUUCUCAAUUCUUCAUUUUUCAGCCCCAAAAAAGGCCAAAUAAAAAACCAUCAUAACCGUCGAAUUGAAAAUAAAAUAAAAAUCCUGAGCAUAAAAAAAAAAAACCUGACGAAAAAGAAAAAACCCAUCUUCACCCAUGGAGGGCUCCGUGCAGACUGAGCUCUGCAGGGCGGGGGAAGGCUUAUA
Molecule: non-coding RNA, 298 nt
Organism: Pelobates cultripes (western spadefoot toad)
Lineage: Eukaryota; Metazoa; Chordata; Amphibia; Anura; Pelobatidae
Source: the annotation of a GenBank genome assembly